CAGCUUUCAGCAUACAAUUACCCUCAUUCUAAUCACUGGAAUUCUUCAUACAGAACUGCCAUUCACAUUACGGUGUUUCACACAAACACACACUCAUUUUCAUUGAACUACAAUCAGAUUUCAACAUUCAAUCUUUCUUCUUCUCAAAUAAUACCAAUCACAUUUCCAUUCCAUAAUUCACUUCACAAUAUUCAGAAACUCUCAAUCCUCUUAUUUAAAGAAAAUAACAAACAAAAGAAAAGAACUAG
Molecule: long non-coding RNA, 248 nt
Filed under: Physcomitrium patens
Lineage: Eukaryota; Viridiplantae; Streptophyta; Bryopsida; Funariales; Funariaceae
Description: long non-coding RNA (PPAT_LNC000117)
Source: RNAcentral